UCCCCGCACUCCCGCAAUAAGGUCUCAUUAAGGAACCGGUAUUUUCAUUCUGGUUCAACCGCAACCCAGAGGAAGAGGAAGGGGGUGAGAUUGUUUUUGGUGGUGUUGAUCCUGCUCACUAUAAGGGAAAGCACACUUACGUGCCUGUGACCAAAAAAGGAUAUUGGCAGUUUGAUAUGGGAGAUGUACUUAUUGCCGGUAAACCCACUGGAUAUUGUGCUGAUGGUUGUUCAACCAUUGCAGACUCAGGGACUUCUUUGUUGGCAAGUCCAACG
Molecule: non-coding RNA, 275 nt
Organism: Cajanus cajan (pigeon pea)
Lineage: Eukaryota; Viridiplantae; Streptophyta; Magnoliopsida; Fabales; Fabaceae
Source: RefSeq, a predicted model, not a curated record